AAAGUCGUAACAAGGUUUCCGUAGGUGAACCUGCGGAAGGAUCAUUAUUGAUUUAGCGAACCGAGCGUUAGCGAGGUUUUGCGAUCGCUUAUAUUUAAAACCCACUCUUAAACGUAUAAAAUUUUUAUAUAAUAAUAAAAAAGAUCACUUUCAACAACGGAUCUCUUGGCUCUC
Molecule: unclassified non-coding RNA, 174 nt
Filed under: Glomeromycotina sp.
Lineage: Eukaryota; Fungi; Glomeromycota
Description: partial contains small subunit ribosomal RNA, internal transcribed spacer 1, and 5.8S ribosomal RNA
Rfam family: Eukaryotic small subunit ribosomal RNA (bases 1-47)
Source: RNAcentral